UACGGAGGGUGCAAGCGUUGUUCGGAAUUACUGGGCGUAAAGCGCGUGUAGGCGGCGCCGUAAGUCGGAUGUGAAAGCCCUCGGCUUAACCGAGGAAGUGCAUCCGAUACUGCGGUGCUUGAGUGUCGGAGGGGAUGGCGGAAUUCCCGGUGUAGAGGUGAAAUUCGUAGAUAUCGGGAGGAACACCUGUGGCGAAGGCGGCCAUCUGGACGAUAACUGACGCUGAGACGCGAAAGCGUGGGUAGCAAACAGG
RNAcentral lists this ribosomal RNA (253 nucleotides) under uncultured bacterium. RNAcentral describes it as "partial 16S ribosomal RNA". It matches the Rfam family "Bacterial small subunit ribosomal RNA", at positions 524 to 776 of the family's 1533-position model. The record is from RNAcentral.